Molecule: ribosomal RNA, 497 nt
Filed under: uncultured bacterium
Lineage: Bacteria
Description: partial 16S ribosomal RNA
Rfam family: Bacterial small subunit ribosomal RNA
Source: RNAcentral
GAUGAACGCUGGCGGCGUGCCUAAUACAUGAAAGUCGAGCGAACGGACGAGAAGCUUGCUUCUCUGAUGUUAGCGGCGGACGGGUGAGUAACACGUGGAUAACCUACCUAUAAAACUGGGAUAACUUCGGAAAACCGGAGCUAAUACCGGAUAAUAUUUUGAACCGCAUGGUUCAAAAGUGAAAGACGGUCUUGCUGUCACUUAUAGAUGGAUCCGCGCUGCAUUAGCUAGUUGGUAAGGUAACGGCUUACCAAGGCAACGAUGCAUAGCCGACCUGAGAGGGUGAUCGGCCACACUGGAACUGAGACACGGUCCAGACUCCUACGGGAGGCAGCAGUAGGGAAUCUUCCGCAAUGGGCGAAAGCCUGACGGAGCAACGCCGCGUGAGUGAUGAAGGUCUUCGGAUCGUAAAACUCUGUUAUUAGGGAAGAACAUAUGUGUAAGUAACUGUGCACAUCUUGACGGUACCUAAUCAGAAAGCCACGGCUAACUACGUG